GAUGACCUCUGGCGGCGUUCCUACUACAUGCAAGUCGAGCGAACAGAUAAGGAGCUUGCUCCUUUGACGUUAGCGGCGGACGGGUGAGUAACACGUGGGUAACCUACCUAUAAGACUGGGAUAACUUCGGGAAACCGGAGCUAAUACCGGAUAACAUUUGGAACCGCAUGGUUCUCAAGUGAAAGAUGGUUUUGCUAUCACUUAUAGAUGGACCCGCGCCGUAUUAGCUAGUUGGUAAGGUAACGGCUUACCAAGGCGACGAUACGUAGCCGACCUGAGAGGCUGAUCCGCCACCCUUGCACUGAGACAUGGUCCAGACGCCGACGGCAGGCAGCAGGGGGGAAUCUUGCGCAACGGGCGAACGCCUGACGGAGCAACGCUGGGGGAGGGAUGAAGGCUUUCGGUUCGUCAAACUCAGUUACUAGGGAAGAACAACAGUGUAAGUCACUGUGCAGGGAUUGCAGGUAACGAAUCAGAACGCAAAGGCCAACCCAGUG
Molecule: ribosomal RNA, 497 nt
Filed under: uncultured bacterium
Lineage: Bacteria
Description: partial 16S ribosomal RNA
Rfam family: Bacterial small subunit ribosomal RNA
Source: RNAcentral